GUGCUCACUUCAGCAGCACAUGCACUAAAAUUGGAACAAAACAGAGAAGAUUAGCAUGGCACCUGUGCAAGGAUGACAUGCAAAUUUCUGAAGCAUUCCAUAUUUUU
Small nuclear RNA from Marmota monax (woodchuck), 107 nucleotides. Lineage: Eukaryota; Metazoa; Chordata; Mammalia; Rodentia; Sciuridae. The record is from RefSeq and is a predicted model, not a curated record.